AUGCUCUUGGCUGCCAAAAAUUAGAGAGAGAGAGGGACGUGAGCUAGAGAGAGAAGGAGAAGAAGAAAGAAAGGAAGAAGAAGGAGAAGAGAAAACCAACUCUAGGGCUUGAACAAGGGGUGAUAAAGUUUGGGUAUUGGAAAAUCAAGAAAGGUAGCAAAUAGGUUUCUCUAUGGCAUGCAAGGUGAUGUGGAGAGUUCUAUCGUCAUGGUGUGUAUGGCGUGGGGGCAUCCUAUGGAUGAGAAACGAUAAGUUUAAACUCCAUUUUCUUUUAAUAAUGUUAUGUUAAAUUGGACUUUCUAAACUUAUCAGUGGGACUUGAACUUUGGUGGUUUUUAAGAACUUUGCAUGAAAAUUUCUAUUUUCUUUUAAACUAUUGGGCCUAACUUGCAUGUUUUAGCAAGACCCCACUCGAAUUUUAUAAUAAGUGGCAUUUCUCUUUUAAACCCAUGAGUAUGUGAACGUUUUAUAAAGUACUAGAUUAGGGUGUUUUACAAACUCUAACAUGCUUUUAUUAUAACAUUAUUUCAAGAUUUCUUUUAUGCAAAAAUAAAGCAAGUAAAUCUAGGCCUAAGGCAUGCUUGGUCGAAACCCUCAUGCAUCAACCUUUCCAAUUUCUUUUUCUUUCACCUCACAUAAAAUGCACCCAACCAUGUUUCUAGAGAAAUAAAUAAAAAAUGCCAACAUAAAAAAGAAUACCUAAGAACUCUCAUCACAAUAGUAAACAACUCCAACAAAUAAAUCAAUCAAUAAUGUUACAAAACCACAAAAAUUAUCAGCACCUCAAAACAAUGAUAGAUCAAGGACAAGGGUUAGAGAUUCUAAUACCUCUCUUGAUUGUAGAAUCAAGAACACAAAAGUUAUGACCAACCCUCUUGGAUACCCUAUAAAUUUUGAAAUCCACAACAAAGAGAAAGGAAAAAUGUUCUUAGAAUUUAAGGAGAUGAGAGAAUAACUUAGAGGAUUCAAGGUACUAAAACAACAGAAAAACAAAAUACCUAUACCCAAAAUAUCUUUCUUCUUCUUCUCCUUCUUUCUCUUCUCCCUUCUUCCUUUCUUCUUCUCCUUCGCUCUCUCUCUCUCUCUCUCUCUCUCUCUUUACACGAUAUUCCCAAUGCACAAGUAAGACAAGAGCUCACUUAUUUCCCUUCUUAUUCUAGCCAAAUAAAAACCUAGAAUCAAUUACCCAAUCUCUCUCUUAUCCUUUCCUAAUUUCCCUGUCCAAAAUCAAUACAAUAAAACCCUUGACUUAUCUAGAAAAUAAAUAGAGUAAUUAGGAAAUAAGAUAUUCCUU
Humulus lupulus (European hop) is the source of this 1294-nucleotide long non-coding RNA. RefSeq lists it as uncharacterized. The transcript is spliced from 3 exons. Lineage: Eukaryota; Viridiplantae; Streptophyta; Magnoliopsida; Rosales; Cannabaceae. The record is from RefSeq and is a predicted model, not a curated record.